CAGAUAAAAAGAUUUUGGAGAAAACAUUGGUGAAGAAUUUCAUCUGUGAAUCUUAGCUCUGCAAUGCAGUCUGCAUAUUUCUAGUGAAUUGAGCAAUUCUGUGUGGUUGAGGAUUGACAGCAUAAUGGAAACAGAGCAAACUGCAGAAUUUAUCACCAGGAUCAAGAGGCAACUUGAGGCCAAUUUUGUGUGCUCAGGGAUGGUAGAAAACACUGACAAAAUCAAGCAACCAAA
This 234-nucleotide long non-coding RNA is filed under the name Homo sapiens (human). RNAcentral's name for it is "HSALNT0335092". Lineage: Eukaryota; Metazoa; Chordata; Mammalia; Primates; Hominidae. The record is from RNAcentral.